AUUGAACGCUGGCGGCAUGCUUUACACAUGCAAGUCGAACGGUAGAGGGGGCAACCCUUUGAGAGUGGCGAACGGGUGAGUAAUGCAUCGGAACGUGCCCAGUCGUGGGGGAUAACUACUCGAAAGAGUGGCUAAUACCGCAUACGACCUGAGGGUGAAAGCGGGGGACCGAAAGGCCUCGCGCGAUUGGAGCGGCCGAUGUCAGAUUAGGUAGUUGGUGGGGUAAAGGCCUACCAAGCCUGCGAUCUGUAGCUGGUCUGAGAGGACGACCAGCCACACUGGGACUGAGACACGGCCCAGACUCCUACGGGAGGCAGCAGUGGGGAAUUUUGGACAAUGGGCGCAAGCCUGAUCCAGCCAUGCCGCGUGCGGGAAGAAGGCCUUCGGGUUGUAAACCGCUUUUGUCAGGGAAGAAAUCCUUUGGGUUAAUACCUCGGGGGGAUGACGGUACCUGAAGAAU
Molecule: ribosomal RNA, 460 nt
Filed under: uncultured bacterium
Lineage: Bacteria
Description: bacterial SSU rRNA
Rfam family: Bacterial small subunit ribosomal RNA
Source: RNAcentral